RNAcentral lists this ribosomal RNA (497 nucleotides) under uncultured bacterium. Its description in RNAcentral is "partial 16S ribosomal RNA". It matches the Rfam family "Bacterial small subunit ribosomal RNA", at positions 28 to 507 of the family's 1533-position model. The record is from RNAcentral.
GAUGAACGCUGGCGGCGUGCCUAAUACAUGCAAGUCGAGCGAACAGACGAGGAGCUUGCUCCUCUGACGUUAGCGGCGGACGGGUGAGUAACACGUGGAUAACCUACCUAUAAGACUGGGAUAACUUCGGGAAACCGGGGCUAAUACCGGAUAAUAUAUUGAACCGCAUGGUUCGAUAGUGAAAGACGGUUUUGCUGUCACUUAUAGAUGGAUCCGCGCCGCAUUAGCUAGUUGGUAAGGUAACGGCUUACCAAGGCGACGAUGCGUAGCCGACCUGAGAGGGUGAUCGGCCACACUGGAACUGAGACACGGUCCAGACUCCUACGGGAGGCAGCAGUAGGGAAUCUUCCGCAAUGGGCGAAAGCCUGACGGAGCAACGCCGCGUGAGUGAUGAAGGUCUUCGGAUCGUAAAACUCUGUUAUUAGGGAAGAACAAAUGUGUAAGUAACUAUGCACGCCUUGACGGUACCUAAUCAGAAAGCCACGGCUAACUACGUG